RNAcentral lists this unclassified non-coding RNA (284 nucleotides) under Hevea brasiliensis (rubber tree). Lineage: Eukaryota; Viridiplantae; Streptophyta; Magnoliopsida; Malpighiales; Euphorbiaceae. The record is from RNAcentral.
GCAACAUGGACCGUGUGAGUAUUUCUUAUGAAUUUUUGUUAUUUUUUGUCAUAGUCAUUCGGUUUUCAAACCUUGUACACGACUUUGAUCUUUCUCAUGGAUAAUUCUUCUUUGAAUUAACAGUACUACAACUUUCAUUAUGGGUUAUUCACUUUCAAUUAGUUGCAAGAUCUCAGUUAAGCUGUGCAAUGAGCAAUUCAGAAUAAAUCAUUCAUUGUACUUGUUUAAUCUUGAUAUGCUAGCUUAUUGAUGUGUUCAUAGUAGGUAAACAUGAGCAUUGCAAU